ACCCAUUAAGCUUUGCCUACAACUCAUUACCCAGUGAGUCCUCAUCAAAGCCCUUCAAAAUCCUAGACUGUCCUCACUCCUGCGCUUCUUUGUUGCAAUUGCAAACCCUCAUCUUCCUUUUCAAUGAGUGUCGCCUCUGCUCUGUGGUUACGCUUUAGUUCUCAUUCUUCAAGCUGAUGACGGUUCAUUUCCUUUUUCCUUUUAAUUUUCUUCCGCCUUAGCUAAUCAACAAAGGCCGUUGGUUCUCGGGGACGGGUUCUGAAAUCCCUGAACCGAUGAAAGAGGUGAACCGUAAUUUUAUCCUGAAACCACCCCAAACCGAACCAUGAUCAGCCCUACCUACAUGUGAAGUGCAUACUAGUUCCGGGCAGGAGUGGAAUGCUGCAGUUUUGGCAAGGAAAAGUCAUUGCGUAGUUUUACCACUUGUAUUUGUGCACCGCGCAAGAGUUUGGUUUACCCGGGAGACGGUGAUGACUUCAGUGGCUACAUAGAGAUAGCCCUAUGCCAAUAUUUUCCGAAAGACGGUGUUCGGUGCAGUACUAGUGACUUCCUCUUUCAGCUCUCUGUUCGUUCUCUUUUCCUAUUGAUCCUCUUCCAUCUUUGCAGUUGAAGCAUUUGGUAUCCAGAUUAACGAGUCUGCCUCCAUUGCAUCGAUCACUGAUUGGCCAGAUUCGAGCGUGAAAAUACGAGUAAGAAGAAAAGUAGUUGCUUGUAAAAUUUACCGUGAAGGCAUUAUUUAUAUAUGGAUUCCGUUCCAUUCUUUUCCCAGAAAAUCAUAACCUGCGAUCCGGUUGUGGUUUCUAGUCACUCUCUCAUCUUACAAGUUCAUCGACAAGCAGGCUGAGAUCUCGACAAGGUAAAUGAAUUCAUCGACAGUGUCUCAACAUGAAGACCAUGCAUAUACUGGAUCGAAUUCGAAAGAGAUAUAUGCAGAUAAUACGUCAAGAAGAAAACGUCUACUGCUCUUUUUAUGUUUGCCGUGUACGCUGCUCAUCAACAUGAAAAAGUUUAUGGGUCCAAGGAUUGCAGUUGUUAUUCUGGAAGGUGUUCAACAUUAUUGCACAAUAUAAUAUUCCCAUCGUUCAUCUUAG
This is a non-coding RNA of Punica granatum (pomegranate), 1091 nucleotides long. The record is from RefSeq and is a predicted model, not a curated record. NCBI's taxonomy places the organism in Eukaryota, Viridiplantae, Streptophyta, Magnoliopsida, Myrtales, Lythraceae.